Molecule: long non-coding RNA, 3234 nt
Organism: Apis laboriosa (Himalayan honeybee)
Lineage: Eukaryota; Metazoa; Arthropoda; Insecta; Hymenoptera; Apidae
Exons: 3
Source: RefSeq, a predicted model, not a curated record
AUCGAAUCACUCGAUCGAAAAAUGGAAUGCUAAUGGAUUUUCAGAAUUAGAAAAAUAUAGCAGAAAAAAUGGUUUCAAUAAUUUACAAUCUAUAUAGUAUGGAUCGAAUGGCCAAUAUUUCUGAUUCAUUAUAAUUGAGUGAAGUGAAAGAAAAGUAACUAGAAAUCGUAGACUACAAAGUGUGCAGAUAGAGAAUAACUAGAAAGACAAGUGUGACUGUAAAUUGAAAUGGUGGGGAGAGUCGCUAAUUGAUUCGACAGAGGUUGUGUAGUCUACGGCUAUCGAAGCGCCCCGAGCGGUCUUCUUCCGCAAAGUAUUCGAUUGAAAAGUUUCGUACGGAACUUGAACCCAUACUUUCGCUUCUUGUUACCGCCUCGAUAGUUUGGGUAACAAGUAACGUCAAAGUGAGCGACAAUGGUGAUUGUCGAUAAGUGAAAACUUGGUGAAAAUUGAUAGAAUUCUCUGAUCGAUGUGCAAUGCAAGUUGAUACAUUUCAACAAAUAGACAAAUGUUUUUUUAAAAUUCAUCGACAACGAAAAAUAAAUUCGAAAAAUCUCGAAUUUCUCUCUCGAUGAUAUUAGCAUAGAUCGAUGCGAAAUAAUGUGAACAGUGUUUGGACAGGGAAGUUUCGAGGAAGUUUCGCAAUGGUUGGAGGGGAUCCGAUGGAAAAAGUUGGGACUUCUGUUCGCGGUACCGGUACUCGAGUAUUUGAUAAACGAUUCCUCUCUCUCUGGUCCGGUUUCUACCAGAAACUUUCGUUUUUCGAGCAGAACACGGAACGAACGGAGAGCCGGUGGUGGUAACUCGACUAGGAAACUCGUGCAUUCGAUUCAUUUGCAUGCGUUCCACGUACACGACACACGACUAGAUUUUCACUUGGAAUUUAAGACUCGAUUUACACAGACGACACCGGUCAUAAUGUCGUUAGAGCUCGGUCACACUACAUUUAAAGUGGUAAUCGAUUUUCUUCAAAAACUCGUCGAGGAUUUGGAGAUUUUUCUUGAGGACGUGAUACGUUUUCAGAGUCGGAAUUACAAAAUAUUUAAACUAUUAAUAUUCAAUUUAAGCAUUAAUUUUUCUUUGAAUUAAUUAAUUUCAAAUUUCACUUCAAGUUCGCGUAUGUGAAAUUUGCAAUUUAUUUCCAUACGAUCCAAUCGAGUAUUCGAAAUGUGUACACGAAAGUGUGUGAAUUACAACAUAUCCACGGGAUAAGAAAUUGCGUUAAAAAAAGGAGGAUUAGACUUUGCUUUAGACGUUGAAAUAUUCAAUUUUCAUGAAACAAUCCUCUAACAUUUUUUCCAAUUUCAUCCGCCAUUUCGAGGCAAGGUUAUACCGGCUCGAAUUAAUCAUCACGAAAGAGGAUUGGAUAAAAAUCUCAUCCUCUCUACCUAUGGAUCGCUGGUGUAAAUCAUAUUUCUUUAUAUGUACGUCAUACGUAAGAGGACGAGAUCAACUUUGGAUUUAAACGAAAAGUAUGGAUAAGGAAAAGAAGCUUCAUUGAAAAAUAAGUCCACAAUAAAACGAAAUAAAUAUUACUCACAGAAUUUUCAUUUUAUGAAAAAUCAGCAGCUCGUAAAAUCCAAUAGAAACAGAUACAUCGAUGAAAGUUAUUUCUAGUCAAAUGCAAUUUAGGCUAGGGGCCGGAAGCAAGCAGUGGCGGAUGAGCGUUUGCGAUGUAGAGGUAUCCGUCUAAUUGGCUAGACGUUGACGGGUCAGUACACACCAUAUCCGGUUCUCAGCCGAAGCUCAAAGCCUGGAUAUAUACCGAUAAUCGAAUUAAGAGUGGGUGGAGUGUCAAAAGUGUAACGAAUGAACCAUUGAAUGGAGUUGAAACUGUCGAAAACACUUUUCCAGCAUUGACCCAAUAUACUUUUCAACGGGGGAUCAGAAAUUUUCGGUUGGACGGGAAUAUACACGAAUAUUCGGAAACUUGCUUUUUCAAAUGUUUUUUCCCCUCUCCUCGUUUUUUUUUUUUUGCAAUUUUUUUUAUAACCGUGAUAGAAUAUCUGAAAUUAACGGAGUGUGCACGAUCAUUCGUUUGAAUCCAACAAUGUUGUUUGUUUAUACUAAAAAUUUGUGGAAACGUGGAAUCACAAAUAAAUUCAUUUGUAUUUCUCGCGUAUAACUUUUAAAAAGAAAUUAAAAAUUUUAUUAUCAAAAUUUAUUUUAAAAAAAAAAUCAUUGAAGUUCUUUUUUUUUUGUUUCAUCCCGAUAUCUUAAUCAAUUAACGAGAUAUAAGAAAUCGAACUGUCCAUAGCGAUUAAGACACUAGUGAAGAGAGAAUCAGCGAUCUAGUAAUUUAUAUUUUUUCCUAGAAAUGUAUCUUCUUAGAAUCGCGUUUGUCACUUGUCUGAAGUCAAUGAGACGAGUGCAAGUGAUAAGAACAGAGAUAGGUAAAUGAUUAAAAAUCUUUUUCUUUACACGACGAUAUCUACAGAACCGGAAGUUCUAUUGGGAUGAACGAAAAUGCAUUUUAAAAAGCAAGAAUCCACGCUUCAUCCUUCGCUAUUCUUGGAGUUACAAUGAUUUAAAGAUUAUUUAAAGAUUUUCCAAUCUUGAUCGGAUUUCGAAGAUGAACAAUUAAAAAUUAUCUCUUCUUUACACUACGAUAUCUCCGGAACCGGAAAUCAUAUCAGGAUAAUUGAAAAUGCGUUUUAAAGAGCAAAGUUUCAUCCCUCUAACGAUCCUUCACUCAUCGACCGGAAGUCACUAUCCCCGGAGUUACAACGGAGUUCAAAGUUUUCUUAAUUUUAAUAGAAUUUAAUCGAAUUUUAAGCUAAAUUACGCGACUUUACCUCCAAACACAUUUCCUAUUCAUCAUUCAUCCUUAUGUCACUCUAUUUCCCAUCGCUCUUCGUUCUCCCCAAUAAAAUAUCAUUACUCCCACGAUACGGCAGAAAAUUCCUCGAGAGUUUCUCGAAUUAAUUUCUCGAUCGCGUUGGUGAGCAAAAGUAAUUCGGAGUGAAAGGAAUUCUCUCGUUCCACGGCCGCCAAUUAUCCGGAAGUUUUCCUUUCGGCCGGCCUCCCUCGUCGAUAUCAUCCUAAUUGCUAUCGAGCGCCUUGGUAAUCCAUUAGCGGGCCAGAGAUGGCCUAGAUCGCCGGCCUUGGAAGCUUCGCCACGGCCUAUCCUCCUCCUGCCCUAUCUUCCUUUCCACAGAAGAAUCUAUUCGCCCCCCGAUUCUAUCUACUCACGCUACAUUUGAUGUGGGAAUCGCGUUGCUUUGCAUCCGCGAG